This 75-nucleotide transfer RNA is filed under the name Candidatus Harrisonbacteria bacterium CG10_big_fil_rev_8_21_14_0_10_38_8. RNAcentral's name for it is "tRNA-Thr". It matches the Rfam family "tRNA". From Rfam's summary of the family: Transfer RNA (tRNA) molecules are approximately 80 nucleotides in length. Their secondary structure includes four short double-helical elements and three loops (D, anti-codon, and T loops). Lineage: Bacteria; Candidatus Harrisoniibacteriota. The record is from RNAcentral.
GCCACCUUAGCUCAGGGGUAGAGCAGUCCCUUCGUAAGGGAAAGGUCCGGAGUUCGAAUCUCCGAGGUGGCUCAA